GAUUAACGCUGGCGGCGUGCUUAACACAUGCAAGUCGAACGGUGAAGCAGGAGCUUGCUCUUGUGGAUCAGUGGCGAACGGGUGAGUAACACGUGAGCAACCUGCCCCUGACUCUGGGAUAAGCGUUGGAAACGGCGUCUAAUACUGGAUAUGUGAUGUGACCGCAUGGUCUGCAUCUGGAAAGAAUUUCGGUUGGGGAUGGGCUCGCGGCCUAUCAGCUUGUUGGUGAAGUAAUGGCUCACCAAGGCGUCGACGGGUAGCCGGCCUGAGAGGGUGACCGGCCACACUGGGACUGAGACACGGCGCAUAGUCCUACGGGAGGCAGCAGUGGGGAAUAUUGCACAAUGGGCGGAAGCCUGAUGCAGCAACGCCGGGUGAGGGAUGACGGCCUUCGGGUUGUAAACCUCUUUUAGCAGGGAAGAAGCGAAAGUGACGGUACCUGCAGAAAAAGCACCGGCUAACUACGUGCCAGCCGCCGCCGUAA
This 484-nucleotide ribosomal RNA is filed under the name uncultured bacterium. Its description in RNAcentral is "partial 16S ribosomal RNA". It matches the Rfam family "Bacterial small subunit ribosomal RNA", at positions 28 to 523 of the family's 1533-position model. The record is from RNAcentral.